GUGAGAAUACUAUCAAUUGCACGCUUUGGGAAUCCUAUGCUGAACAAUUCAUGAAGUUCAAGCAGGAGCGCGGAGAUGAUUCUGGUCCUAUUUUUGUCAUGAUCCAAUAUGCUAAAGUCAAGGAACAGGGAAAGUUUCCACUGUCCGUGACAAACACGUUUAAUGUUACCGUCCUUGGUCUGAAUACUGAUUUGCUGCCGAUGAAAGAGUUUAUAGAAAGUUUUCCGAAGGAUUCCAUGAU
Molecule: long non-coding RNA, 241 nt
Organism: Vicia villosa (hairy vetch)
Lineage: Eukaryota; Viridiplantae; Streptophyta; Magnoliopsida; Fabales; Fabaceae
Exons: 3
Source: RefSeq, a predicted model, not a curated record